RNAcentral lists this unclassified non-coding RNA (331 nucleotides) under soil metagenome. RNAcentral describes it as "partial contains 5.8S ribosomal RNA, internal transcribed spacer 2, and large subunit ribosomal RNA". The stretch from base 1 to 120 matches the Rfam family "5.8S ribosomal RNA", at positions 35 to 154 of the family's 154-position model. The record is from RNAcentral.
GAUGAAGAACGGAGCGAAAUGCGAUAAGUAAUGUGAAUUGCAGAAUUCAGUGAAUCAUCGAAUCUUUGAACGCACAUUGCGCCCCCUGGUAUUCCGGGGGGCAUGCCUGUUCGAGCGUCAUUUCACCACUCAAGCCUCGCUUGGUAUUGGGCAACGCGGUCCGCCGCGUGCCUCAAAUCGACCGGCUGGGUCUUCUGUCCCCUAAGCGUUGUGGAAACUAUUCGCUAAAGGGUGUUCGGGAGGCUACGCCGUAAAACAACCCCAUUUCUAAGGUUGACCUCGGAUCAGGUAGGGAUACCCGCUGAACUUAAGCAUAUCAAUAAGCGGAGGA